UUGCGCACCACGCACGCACGACUUCCGCCCGCUCGCCCCGCAAAAAAAAGAAGGGACUUCCGCCCGUUCCUCCUCAUCCACGCCCGCACGCCAGCCGUUCACCACAGCACGGCCGGGCCGCCCAUCCUCCCGCCGCCUCCCGCCGUUCGCCGCCCGCAUCAUCCUCCGCCCCCGGUCCAAUCAUCCUCCGCUCAGCUUGGCCUCCCCCCAUCCUCCCGUCGUUCGCUAGCCGCCCUCCCGCCGUUCGCCGCCUACCGCGCCAUACGCUGUUCGCUAGAGAUGCGGGCGGGCGGUUGGGCUGGCGAGCGGUGGCAGGUUCGUCGCGCGACGGGUCGCCUGGGAUGCCAGCCGAUGGAUGCGGGUCAAGCCGACUCGGGCGGCGGCGCAUCUUCGGGAGAGGAGAGGGGAAGAGAAGGAGAGUCCUGGCGGCGACUGAGGAAGUGCUCGCCGGCGAGCGGGCUCCGACGGCCGCCUGGCGCGUGGGGUUGGAUGGGGACGCUUCCCGGCGGCCGCGGCCGUCCUCGCGACACCACCUACCCGAAAGCAUCGCCGUUCCCGGCCGCCAGCCGACGCGACGUCGCCUGCCCCUCCUACCCACGCGACGAUGUCGCUCCCCGCCUCCUCCCCGCGCGACACCACCUUCCCCAAGAGUGCCCACCCCGUCGUCCUCCUCAGUGCCUCCCUCUCGCCCGCCCGCAACGCCUGACACACGCAUGGCCCACACUGGAGCACGCCGCCCCUCGCUGCCCGGUUUUCUUAUUUUCCGUCGCACCGUGCGAAAUCUGCCCCGUGCUCGGUCUGGAUCUACAUAAGCGGUUGAGAGAGAGAGCACAAGGAAGACGCACACUGUGGAUUGUGGAAGAGGAAGAGGAAAUGUUGUUGGAUCUAAGCACCUGUGGGAGGAGCAUAAGCAUAAGGAGGCAUCCAUGAGACAAGAUUUUUUUAAUUCGUAUUUCUAUGUCUGCCUGAUGACAUUAGUUAACUGGUAAUAGUAAGUCAGUACCAUACAUCACUGAUGAAAUAGUUGUUUUUUCCCAUUUAGCAAAGAAAUUAUGAUCUGUUCCUCUACCAAUAAUUGUAAAUUAGUCAUGACACCCAGUCUAGCAUCUGUCAUGUUGUUUGAUUUGUCUCUCUAUAUAUAUAUGUUCUCAUGAGUGGUCAUCCUUUUACAUGACGAUUUCCAAAAUACGAAUACACUGAAAGUUAAUUUGAUUUUUCAUAAAUGUGUCCAAUUUUGGAUGUAUAAAUUAAUUUUUAAUUUGGCAUCCCAUUCCAUGCCAAGAAUCAAAUGACAAGCUGAAUUUGUUCCUCUGUAAUGGGGUUCAGUAGCUUCUCUCUCCUGAAUUAUUCUUGUUGUAAUUUCAUGGUUAUGCAAUUAUCAAUCUUCUCUUACUCAUUUCACGUGUCCAUAGUUAGCCAGGCAACUGAAGGUGGGUCAUGUAUUUUAGCACAGGUUCGAUGUGGCGGUUGUCAACUUAUUCCAACUGUGAAGAAUGGUAGUUGUUGCCGGAUGAAUUUCUAGUCUCGCAUCUCCUUAUUUCCGGUCUUGCACCAUGGACGCCCUAAAUGGUGCUAACGCGUGCUUCUUCGGAGGAGGGCCAUGUGAUGGUCAGACCGGCAGACAUAGCCAGGUAAGACCAAAUAAGUGCUAGAUACUGUCAUGAGAUAAAUUUUGAUGGAUAGGAUUUUAAUAAGUUAGCGGUGUAGGUCGAGAUGAUGAAGAGAUUGGUAUGCACAAUGUGUAGACAGAAUAUGAUACAUUUACAUUGACAGGCGUAGGCUCGGCUGGAGCGCUUUAGUCUUUUUAUUGAUUAAGCUUAACACUUCUGCUCAUUAAUUAUUACUUUGUAUUCAUCAAAAUUAUUUAUUUUGUACUAUACUGUAGCAUUUCGACGGACACAAACAGAGACGGCCAUGGUGCUAGCUGAUAGCACUUGCUAACUUAAAAAGUUUGCAUACCUUUUAUCGAAUUAUAUGAGAGUUUCUUGCCAACUAUUGAGCCUACCAGUUUUAGAUCUAUGUCACUAAGGCCACUACUCAACUUCAGGUUGGUACUUUGCGGUAGAGUAUACCUCCAUAAUUCUCCAUCGAAGAUACUAAUGUUUAUUGAUGAUGAUUUGUUUCAGGAUAUGCGGUACAAGGGAUUCGAGGCAGAUUGAGGAAGGAGCCGGAGCAGGUGGUGGAUUAAGGAAGGAGCUGGAGUAGAGACGGAUUAGAGCUGCUUAAGUGCAGGAUGGAAGGGAACUUAAGUGCAUGUUUUCGGAUUGUAUAUGAACUAAGUUCCCGCUGAAAAAUGGUGACCGCGUUUAGAGCUGGCAUUGGUGCUUGGUCAGACAUUGUGUCUUUGUAACUACACUAAGUUCCCUGGUUUCUGCUUAAAAAUGUUUACAAGAUGACAUUUCUAAAUAUGACCUAGAAGCCCUCAAACCAGAUCAAGCUCGGUACAUUGGAAUCAAAAGAAUGACAAGGUUCUAACUGUGUUCACAUGAUUUUGAACAGGCCCAUGGAGAUAAGCCCUAAUGUGCACCCAAGGUUCAGGGAGGUGAUCCAGGUUUCCAAGAAGGUUACAAGGUUAGUUGCUUGUGCAAUUCAGUUCAAAUGUAGCUUGUUGCUGGAAGGAGUAGAGUUUGAUUAGAUCGGAUCAGGAUUAUUUUGUAUUUUGGUAGUGGUUAACUAUGGGAUAUGCACCAGCCAUUUUUCUAUGCAUAUUUUUCUGUCCAUGUAUGUUGCAUCCUUUUGACUUAUGUAUGAUGUGUUCAACGAUGUCAUUGGUGACUCAUGUGAAGUUGCUUUGUUUGAUUCAAGUGUAAUUGGACCGUGGCAGCCAUGGAAGAUAUAUGCAUGAAGCCAUGAGUAGUGAGCAGCUUACCUAUUUAUUAUUGUUGGCCUUUUCAGUUGGAUUUAGUAUAGCUGCCUCUCAGAUGAUGAACAGAGACUAACAUUAUAUCUUUAUUCUUGCAUCUUACACCCUCAGCUUGAGAAAAACAAACCUUAUCAUUUUCAUUUGUAGAAUUAAUAUCAUUAUUUAAGGGAUCAGUUGGCACUGAUGCCUAAAAUGUGUUGUUUUUUCGCAUGCUUAAUUGUACACAGCUAGAUAGACAUGCGUAAGUAUUUAGGUUGAUGCACAAGUCAAUUUACAGUAGGAUUAUGAGGGCAAUCAACUGAGCUCCAACAACCAUCAAACUGAAUACUUAUGUUUGUUGAGUUUAUGUUAAUAAUCAUACUUGAGACCUUAGCAAAGCAAUCUGUAGAGCUUGUAGUGAAAGCAAGGCUUAUCAUUCAGGUUACUUGUAAUGACCUGUGACAGAAAAGCAAUCUAUAGAAAUUCUGUUUGCGUGAUCCCUAUGCCUUCUCUAUAUGGUGUUCCAUCUAGGUUAACUGUUGUGAUGGAACCUUUCAAGGAUGGUUUAGUCUGGUCGAUCUUAUCAAUGUACGAGGGAAAGUAUGCAUUCCAGAUCAAUGUAGAUGUCAAGCUGGAAUAAAAACAUUCAAUAGCUUCUCAGUAUGGACAUUGUUCUAAUGAUUACAUUACUUCCCCAUGGUUUUAGCUUGUCACAGAUGGAGAAUCAUCAUCCAGCUACAUCUCCCUUAGAAUCAGGGAAACGUUCUCCAUUUAAAGACCAAACAUGCAUAAUCUAUUUAGAGUUUCAGUUUGUUUUUUGUCUGACAUCUCUGUUGCCUCUGUUAUAUUACUACAUUGCUAUUAAAACAAGGAAGAAUGGCCUGAUGUUGCCUUUGAAUCUGAUUGUCGGGUACUGGUGGAGAUGUGGAACUCAAAAAAACAUAAUAGAUAGAGAUUAUCGGCUUCCUGGCAGAAAUUGAGUUGAGCCAAGCUUUUUGUUCUUUUACUCUGUCUUUUCUUCUUAGAGAGGUUAAUUUUUAACACACCUAUGUACAAACCUGCCCUGCAGGUUAGGGACAGGAGGCUAUGUCGUAAUUGUAAUGCUAGCCCUUCAGAAUAAAGCUAGCUCCUUUGAUUGUCAAAAGUGGCCCCUUAAAGUUGUACACUUCAGAAUAUUGGUUCAAUGCCAUUAAUUUUUUUAUGUGAGAUAUUUGUUUUGUAUUUUAGUAGUCGUUCAAGUGUGAGUUAUGUUUAUUUGUAACACGUAAUUGACUAUCAGAAUUUCAUGAUACCUUGUCAAGGCCAUUUGCUGGUUUAUAUAAGCAUUUGGUUAGCAACC
This 4181-nucleotide ribosomal RNA is filed under the name Triticum aestivum (bread wheat). Its description in RNAcentral is "partial small subunit ribosomal RNA". Lineage: Eukaryota; Viridiplantae; Streptophyta; Magnoliopsida; Poales; Poaceae. The record is from RNAcentral.